RNAcentral lists this ribosomal RNA (321 nucleotides) under uncultured eukaryote. RNAcentral's name for it is "partial 18S ribosomal RNA". It matches the Rfam family "Eukaryotic small subunit ribosomal RNA", at positions 1470 to 1796 of the family's 1831-position model. The record is from RNAcentral.
CCCUUAGAUGUUCUGGGCUGCACGCGCGCUACACUGAUGCGUUCAACGAGUCUGCCUUGGCCGAGAGGUCUGGGUAAUCUUGUGAAAGCGCAUCGUGAUGGGGAUAGAUUAUUGCAAUUGUUAGUCUUCAACGAGGAAUUCCUAGUAAGCGCGAGUCAUCAACUCGUGCUGAUUACGUCCCUGCCCUUUGUACACACCGCCCGUCGCUCUUACCGAUUGAGUGAUCCGGUGAAUAAUUCGGACUGCGAAGGGCCCGGUUUCCGAGUCCUUUGUAGGAAGUUUAGUGAACCUUAUCACUUAGAGGAAGGAGAAGUCGUAACA